This is a long non-coding RNA of Sorex fumeus (smoky shrew), 389 nucleotides long. RefSeq lists it as uncharacterized. NCBI's taxonomy places the organism in Eukaryota, Metazoa, Chordata, Mammalia, Eulipotyphla, Soricidae. The record is from RefSeq and is a predicted model, not a curated record. The transcript has 3 exons.
AGUCUCAACUGCAUUCCAGAGUGCCGGGGGCUUUCUUUGAUGGCCAGUUUAACUCAUCGAUCGCUUAUCUAAGCUCCUUGUCCAUGCGCUUCUCCUUACUCAGCGUGUUCCAGUGAAGACAAAGCCAGGCCCAGGAAACUGACUUCAAGCCCCAAAGUCCCAGAGGUGGACCACAAUGGAAGUUGUUGUUGUAUAUUAGCCAUCCCGGAGCGGAGGAGAGGCAGGUGGUGAAGUCGCUCUGGUCUGGGCCUUAGUUCUCACUCGGAUCUUCUCUGAACUCUUGUUUCUGCCCUCAGCAAUCCAGCCGUUCUUUAAAUUUGUUCACCGCCUGACUCACGCGUUAUGAAAAGACUCUAAAUGGAAACAGGUUUUUAGGAAGAGUCCCUAGA